This 685-nucleotide long non-coding RNA is filed under the name Bos taurus (domestic cattle). Its description in RNAcentral is "long non-coding RNA NONBTAT006109". Lineage: Eukaryota; Metazoa; Chordata; Mammalia; Artiodactyla; Bovidae. The record is from RNAcentral.
GAUAUAAGCCUCUAUGUCCCAGGAACUCUAUGCUGGGAAGAGCUCAGAGUACUCAGAGGGGAAUGAUAACGUGGGGGAUCCCUGCCACAUAUACACACUCUGCAGGGUUCCCAACUCCUAAAGCUCAGCUGUUUCCAGAUCAUUAGGAAACAUUGCCAUAGGGUAUAGGAUGCAGGGUAAUUCUCCUGUCCGCAAAUGAGUGUGGAACCCGGGACUAGAAUUGGCCAGCCUCAGGAGGCAGAGGCAUUCUAGGACAUUCUGAGAUCUGUCUGGGGCUCAGGAUGGUGAUAAGAGCCGAGAAGUGCCUUAUAUGGUUCCCAACAUGGCAUCGUGCUUCCCAGUGGCCUCAUCUUCUACUCAGGAAGGAGCCACGGCAUUUCCUCCCACAAGGCAACCAGCAUGUGUGCUCUGCCACUGAAGGAAGGGGCUUCCUGGUUCUCUGGGUGCAGAACAGAAUCUGACAAAUGGGGAUUCCGCUUCCUACCUGAUGAGUUCGUCCACCUCACAUGACCCCCAGAGAGAGGGCCAGUUUCAACAACGUGCCUUUUCCUCUGAGAACUGGAAGUUUUGGGUGGGUACGUGGCUACCAGGACCAGUGUUUAGCUACAGCUUUUCCACAUUUCAAAUACUAUAAUUCCUCUACUGAGACAUUCUGCAAAAGCCAGAAUAUGUGAAUCUCUUAAAA